Molecule: ribosomal RNA, 568 nt
Filed under: Penetopteryx nanus (lost pipefish)
Lineage: Eukaryota; Metazoa; Chordata; Actinopteri; Syngnathiformes; Syngnathidae
Description: partial 16S ribosomal RNA
Rfam family: Bacterial large subunit ribosomal RNA
Source: RNAcentral
GCAUAAAUUGAAUAAGAGGUCCCGCCUGCCCUGUGACUACAUGUUUAACGGCCGCGGUAUUUUGACCGUGCAAAGGUAGCGCAAUCACUUGUCUUUUAAAUAAAGACCCGUAUGAAUGGCACCACGAGGGCUUAACUGUCUCCUUCCCUUAGUCAAUGAAAUUGAUUUUCUCGUGCAGAAGCGAGAAUAAACUUAUAAGACGAGAAGACCCUGUGGAGCUUUAGACAUAUAGCAGAUUCUACGUCAACUAAUCCCCUUUAAAAGAUUGUGAACAUAGUAAUUAUUUCCGCUAAAUGUUUUUGGUUGGGGCGACCGCGGAGCAAAAAGAAACCUCCGCGAGGACCGGGGCACUUCCCCUAAAACCAAGAGUCUCAGCUCUAAGUAGCAAAAAUUUUGACCUUGAAGAUCCGGCAACGCCGAUCAACGAACCGAGUUACCCCAGGGAUAACAGCGCAAUCCUCUUCAAGAGUCCCUAUCGACAAGAGGGUUUACGACCUCGAUGUUGGAUCAGGACAUCCUAAUGGUGUAGCCGCUAUUAAGGGUUCGUUUGUUCAACGAUUAAAGUCCU